UACCCUUGACAUGCCAGGAAGCCUCUUGAGAGAGAGGUGUGCCCGAAAGGGAGCCUGGACACAGGUGCUGCAUGGCUGUCGUCAGCUCGUGUCGUGAGAUGUUGGGUUAAGUCCCGCAACGAGCGCAACCCUUGUCACUAGUUGCUACGGUAACGGGCACUCUAGUGAGACUGCCGGUGACAAACCGGAGGAAGGUGGGGAUGACGUGUCGUUACCUUA
RNAcentral lists this unclassified non-coding RNA (219 nucleotides) under uncultured Gammaproteobacteria bacterium. RNAcentral's name for it is "contains 16S-23S intergenic spacer region". It matches the Rfam family "Bacterial small subunit ribosomal RNA", at positions 980 to 1197 of the family's 1533-position model. The record is from RNAcentral. Lineage: Bacteria; Pseudomonadati; Pseudomonadota; Gammaproteobacteria.